UGAAAUUAAAUUAUAUGACCUGAGCUGAAAACUUUAGAAUGCUCUGAGCAGGGAACUUUUGUAUUGGAUACCGAUAUCCACAGUCGGCACUUAGAUUUUGGAUAUCCACAGUCGGCACUUAGAUUUUGGAUAUCCACAGUCGGCACUUAGAUUUUGGAUAUUCACAGUCGGUACUUAGAUUUUGGAUAUCCACAGUCGGCACGUAGAUUUUGGAUAUUCACAGUCGGUACUUAGAUUUUGGAUAUCCACAGUCGGCACUCAGAUUUUGGAUAUUCACAGUCGGCACUUAGAUUUUGGAUAUCCACAGUCGGCACUUAGAUUUUGGAUAUUCACAGUCGGCACUUAGAUUUUUGAUAUCCACAGUCGGCACUUAGAUUUUGGAUAUCCACAGUCGGCACUUAGAUUUUGGAUAUUCACAGUCGGUACUUAGAUUUUGGAUAUCUGCAAUUUCUCUGGCUUCUGUUUGGCUGUUCGGUUUUCCACUGUCAACUGUCGACACUCUUCACUAGAUAUUGAAUAAAAAUUGAAAUAAUCUAGAUUCAGUAAAGAACGAAAUCAAGCAUUGAUCUCGAUAUCCACAAUACAAGAUUUCCCACCUCUUAGGGCGAAACUUUUGAACUCCACACAAAGUGUUUUCUUUUAAAUUGAAGAAUUUAAGUUUAAAUCCGGGCAUACUGCAUGUACUAGAAAUCCUUUCAUAGAUAAUUGAGAAAGGAUCUGAAGAUGUUCAGGGUUAACCGUCAAGGAUAAGAUUUCAGACACGACUGUACAAAAUGUAUACUAUAUCUUCUCUUAUAAUCAUAAUUUCUGCAAAUAACUCAUUCCUUUCUUUGACAAAUCAUUAAAUAUCCCAUUUUAAACCAGCAUUCGAGACAAAAGUCAUGAUCUAAACUUGGAAUCGACAUUUUUGUAAACGUUUCAAGUCGUCUUCACAGUUUCAACCUUUGUGGGUAAACCUGUAUUUAAAUAUUGAACAACUACUUUAAGGGGUAUAAAAACCGUCUGAAGUCACCGAUUUAAAAACAUAAGUUACGUAGUUUGUUCAAUACGCUUAAAAUAUUCUGACAUAAUACGCUUAAUAUCCAUAACGAUGUAAGAUUUAGAACUGUAAAUAUAAAAAAGAUACUUAAAAAUAUUCAUAAUACAAUCUAAAUAAAAAUUAUUGAAAAAUCGA
Molecule: long non-coding RNA, 1174 nt
Organism: Eurytemora carolleeae
Lineage: Eukaryota; Metazoa; Arthropoda; Copepoda; Calanoida; Temoridae
Exons: 2
Source: RefSeq, a predicted model, not a curated record